GAUGAACCCUAAAAAGUUCUCUAAACAC
This 28-nucleotide transfer RNA is filed under the name Gastrotheca psychrophila (ridge marsupial frog). RNAcentral describes it as "partial tRNA-Phe". The record is from RNAcentral. Lineage: Eukaryota; Metazoa; Chordata; Amphibia; Anura; Hemiphractidae.